This 482-nucleotide ribosomal RNA is filed under the name uncultured bacterium. RNAcentral describes it as "partial 16S ribosomal RNA". It matches the Rfam family "Bacterial small subunit ribosomal RNA", at positions 30 to 505 of the family's 1533-position model. The record is from RNAcentral.
AUUGAACGCUGGCGGCAGGCCUAACACAUGCAAGUCGAGCGGAUGAAGGGAGCUUGCUCCUGGAUUCAGCGGCGGACGGGUGAGUAAUGCCUAGGAAUCUGCCUGGUAGUGGGGGAUAACGUCCGGAAACGGGCGCUAAUACCGCAUACGUCCUGAGGGAGAAAGUGGGGGAUCUUCGGACCUCACGCUAUCAGAUGAGCCUAGGUCGGAUUAGCUAGUUGGCGGGGUAAAGGCCUACCAAGGCGACGAUCCGUAACUGGUCUGAGAGGAUGAUCAGUCACACUGGAACUGAGACACGGUCCAGACUCCUACGGGAGGCAGCAGUGGGGAAUAUUGGACAAUGGGCGAAAGCCUGAUCCAGCCAUGCCGCGUGUGUGAAGAAGGUCUUCGGAUUGUAAAGCACUUUAAGUUGGGAGGAAGGGCAGUAAGUUAAUACCUUGCUGUUUUGACGUUACCAACAGAAUAAGCACCGGCUAACUUCG